GAUGAACGCUAGCUACAGGCUUAACACAUGCAAGUCGAGGGGAAACGGCAUUGAGUGCUUGCACUCUUUGGACGUCGACCGGCGCACGGGUGAGUAACGCGUAUCCAACCUUCCCAUUACUGUGGGAUAACCUGCCGAAAGGCAGACUAAUACCGCAUAGUCUUCGAUGACGGCAUCAGAUUUGAAGUAAAGAUUUAUCGGUAAUGGAUGGGGAUGCGUCUGAUUAGCUUGUUGGCGGGGUAACGGCCCACCAAGGCUACGAUCAGUAGGGGUUCUGAGAGGAAGGUCCCCCACAUUGGAACUGAGACACGGUCCAAACUCCUACGGGAGGCAGCAGUGAGGAAUAUUGGUCAAUGGACGGAAGUCUGAACCAGCCAAGUAGCGUGCAGGAUGACGGCCCUAUGGGUUGUAAACUGCUUUUGUAUGGGGAUAAAGUUAGGGACGUGUCCCUAUUUGCAGGUACCAUACGAAUAAGGACCGGCUAAGUCCGUG
Molecule: ribosomal RNA, 492 nt
Filed under: uncultured bacterium
Lineage: Bacteria
Description: partial 16S ribosomal RNA
Rfam family: Bacterial small subunit ribosomal RNA
Source: RNAcentral